UAGGGAAUCUUCGGCAAUGGACGAAAGUCUGACCGAGCAACGCCGCGUGAGUGAAGAAGGUUUUCGGAUCGUAAAACUCUGUUGUUAGAGAAGAACAAGGACGUUAGUAACUGAACGUCCCCUGACGGUAUCUAACCAGAAAGCCACGGCUAACUACGUGCCAGCAGCCGCGGUAAUACGUAGGUGGCAAGCGUUGUCCGGAUUUAUUGGGCGUAAAGCGAGCGCAGGCGGUUUCUUAAGUCUGAUGUGAAAGCCCCCGGCUCAACCGGGGAGGGUCAUUGGAAACUGGGAGACUUGAGUGCAGAAGAGGAGAGUGGAAUUCCAUGUGUAGCGGUGAAAUGCGUAGAUAUAUGGAGGAACACCAGUGGCGAAGGCGGCUCUCUGGUCUGUAACUGACGCUGGGGCGCGAAAGCGUGGGGAGCAAACAGG
RNAcentral lists this ribosomal RNA (429 nucleotides) under Gemmatimonadota bacterium. RNAcentral describes it as "Gemmatimonadetes bacterium partial 16S ribosomal RNA". It matches the Rfam family "Bacterial small subunit ribosomal RNA", at positions 355 to 776 of the family's 1533-position model. The record is from RNAcentral. Lineage: Bacteria; Pseudomonadati; Gemmatimonadota.